UACAGAGGUCCCGAGCGUUGUUCGGAUUUAUUGGGCGUAAAGGGUGCGUAGGCGGUGGGGUAAGUUGGAUGUGAAAUCUUGGGGCUUAACCUCAAAAUUGCAUUCAAUACUGCUCCGCUCGAGUUCUGUAGAGGAGAUUGGAAUUUACGGUGUAGCAGUGAAAUGCGUAGAUAUCGUAAGGAACGCCAGUGGCGAAAGCGAAUCUCUGGGCAGCAACUGACGCUGAGGCACGAAGGCCAGGGGAGCAAACGGG
This 253-nucleotide ribosomal RNA is filed under the name uncultured bacterium. Its description in RNAcentral is "partial 16S ribosomal RNA". It matches the Rfam family "Bacterial small subunit ribosomal RNA", at positions 524 to 776 of the family's 1533-position model. The record is from RNAcentral.